RNAcentral lists this ribosomal RNA (757 nucleotides) under uncultured Bacillus sp. RNAcentral's name for it is "bacterial SSU rRNA". It matches the Rfam family "Bacterial small subunit ribosomal RNA", at positions 21 to 760 of the family's 1533-position model. The record is from RNAcentral. Lineage: Bacteria; Bacillati; Bacillota; Bacilli; Caryophanales; Bacillaceae.
UGCUCAGGACGAACGCUGGCGGCGUGCCUAAUACAUGCAAGUCGAGCGAACUUGCGGGAGCUUGCUCCCAAAAGUUAGCGGCGGACGGGUGAGUAACACGUGGGCAACCUGCCUGUAAGACUGGGAUAACUUCGGGAAACCGGAGCUAAUACCGGAUAAUUCUUUUCUACUCAUGUAGGAAAGCUGAAAGAUGGCUUCGGCUAUCACUUACAGAUGGGCCCGCGGCGCAUUAGCUAGUUGGUGAGGUAACGGCUCACCAAGGCAACGAUGCGUAGCCGACCUGAGAGGGUGAUCGGCCACACUGGGACUGAGACACGGCCCAGACUCCUACGGGAGGCAGCAGUAGGGAAUCUUCCGCAAUGGACGAAAGUCUGACGGAGCAACGCCGCGUGAGUGAUGAAGGUUUUCGGAUCGUAAAACUCUGUUGUUAGGGAAGAACAAGUACCGUUCGAAUAGGGCGGUACCUUGACGGUACCUAACCAGAAAGCCACGGCUAACUACGUGCCAGCAGCCGCGGUAAUACGUAGGUGGCAAGCGUUGUCCGGAAUUAUUGGGCGUAAAGCGCGCGCAGGCGGUCCUUUAAGUCUGAUGUGAAAGCCCACGGCUCAACCGUGGAGGGUCAUUGGAAACUGGGGGACUUGAGUGCAGAAGAGGAGAGUGGAAUUCCACGUGUAGCGGUGAAAUGCGUAGAGAUGUGGAGGAACACCAGUGGCGAAGGCGACUCUCUGGUCUGUAACUGACGCUGAGGCGCGAAAGC